RNAcentral lists this ribosomal RNA (537 nucleotides) under Triticum aestivum (bread wheat). Its description in RNAcentral is "partial small subunit ribosomal RNA". The record is from RNAcentral. Lineage: Eukaryota; Viridiplantae; Streptophyta; Magnoliopsida; Poales; Poaceae.
AUGCAUAAGCUCGUAAACGUUCAUUAUUUGGACAAGUCGACAUUUAUGCUUGGAAAUGACGAUGAAGGGGAAGAGGCUAUGGUUUUUGACACAAGUCCAAGCUUUGAUGAUCUUGUAGUUCAAGUGAGAAGCGUCUUACAUUGAAAUGACCCAAAUGCCGAGGUUAAGCUUAUUGGGAGAUAUGACGUUGGAUUGGGAGUAAAGUCCCGAUUAAAGAGUAUGCCCAUCACCUCCCAAUUGCAUUGGAAUGUGUACAAGGAAAAAGUAGACGCAUCACAAGACAAGUCUCUUGAGAUCUUUGCCACAAAGGUUGAUCCUCCUUCUCCUUUGCAAAUUGAUCUCAACCGCAAUGCAUCCUCUCCCAUGCAUGAUGACAGUGCCGAGGUGUAUGUCCCCAAUUCUUCUAGCCAACCACCAAGUAGCCAACCCAAUGAAGAUCAUAUCAACGCUAGCGCCAUAGUACUCCGUCAUGAUGCUAUUCCUCAUGUUGAGAAGAUGCUAUUCCUCAUGUUGAUGAUGAUGCUAUUGUUGCUCUAG